CACUCUUCCACCUAGGAGCCAAUACACAGAAGUUAAGGGUUUAAAAAAAAAAAAGAAGAAACCAUUGGUCACUGUAUUAGGGAACUGGAUCACAACUGCUGGGGAAGUCCAUUGUGCUUGGAUUUAAACAAUGUUGUAUAUCAAACAGUAAGGAUGGUGGUGAAGAUGGUGUUUUGUGAGAAGAAGAGGGUGAAGACGAUGACUCCAACGACGAUUCCACUUCGGGAGAUGAGGAAACAGAAGAGGAAGGGGAACAUGAUUCAACAUUGGAAGGUUCUGGAAGUUGGAGUUCCUGAACUUUCCACUUGCUUCUGCUUCUGCUCCAGGAGCCGCAGAGAGGGUCACCCCGUGGGAGGCGUCCCCUGAAGGCACCGCCUGAGCUGUGAAAGCAUCUUUGCCGCCCCCCCUUGGAGCUAGCGGGAACUUGGAGGAGGCAGAAAUGGCUUCAGGACGCCUACC
Molecule: long non-coding RNA, 459 nt
Organism: Gracilinanus agilis (Agile Gracile Mouse Opossum)
Lineage: Eukaryota; Metazoa; Chordata; Mammalia; Didelphimorphia; Didelphidae
Exons: 3
Source: RefSeq, a predicted model, not a curated record